GACGAACGCUGGCGGCGGGCUUAACACAUGCAAGUCGAACGGAAAGGCCCUGCUUUUGUGGGGUGCUCGAGUGGCGAACGGGUGAGUAACACGUGAGUAACCUGCCCUUGACGUUGGGAUAACUUCAGGAAACUGGGGCUAAUACCGGGUAGGAGCUCCUGCUGCAUGGUGGGGGUUGGAAAGUUUCGGCGGUUGGGGAUGGACUCGCGGCUUAUCAGCUUGUUGGUGGGGUAGUGGCUUACCAAGGCUUUGACGGGUAGCCGGGCUGAGAGGGUGACCGGACCAAUUGGGCCUGAACUAAGGCCCAUACCACUACGGGACGCAGCAGUGGGGAAGAUUGCACAAUGGGAGGAAGCCUGAUGUAGCACAGCCGCGUGCGGGAUGACGGCAUGCGGGUUGUAAACCGCUUUCGCCUGUGCCGAAGCGUGAGUGACGGUAAUGGGUAAAGAAGCACCGGCUAACUACGUG
This 468-nucleotide ribosomal RNA is filed under the name uncultured bacterium. RNAcentral describes it as "partial 16S ribosomal RNA". It matches the Rfam family "Bacterial small subunit ribosomal RNA", at positions 28 to 507 of the family's 1533-position model. The record is from RNAcentral.